RNAcentral lists this ribosomal RNA (497 nucleotides) under uncultured bacterium. Its description in RNAcentral is "bacterial SSU rRNA". It matches the Rfam family "Bacterial small subunit ribosomal RNA", at positions 30 to 525 of the family's 1533-position model. The record is from RNAcentral.
AUUGAACGCUGGCGGAAUGCUUUACACAUGCAAGUCGAACGGUAGAGGGGGCAACCCCUUGAGAGUGGCGAACGGGUGAGUAAUAUAUCGGAACGUGCCCAGUCGUGGGGAUAACGUAGCGAAAGUUACGCUAAUACCGCAUACGAUCUAUGGAUGAAAGCGGGGGAUCGCAAGACCUCGCGCGAUUGGAGCGGCCGAUAUCAGAUUAGGUAGUUGGUGAGGUAAAGGCUCACCAAGCCGACGAUCUGUAGCUGGUCUGAGAGGACGACCAGCCACACUGGGACUGAGACACGGCCCAGACUCCUACGGGAGGCAGCAGUGGGGAAUUUUGGACAAUGGACGCAAGUCUGAUCCAGCCAUUCCGCGUGCAGGAUGAAGGCCCUCGGGUUGUAAACUGCUUUUGUACGGAACGAAACGGUGAGCUCUAAUACAGUUUGCUAAUGACGGUACCGUAAGAAUAAGCACCGGCUAACUACGUGCCAGCAGCCGCGGUAAAG